Small nucleolar RNA from Ailuropoda melanoleuca (giant panda), 96 nucleotides. The record is from Ensembl. Lineage: Eukaryota; Metazoa; Chordata; Mammalia; Carnivora; Ursidae.
UUGGCCCUGAGUCAAGGCCGGCAGUUUGCUGAAGCUGUUGGUUUCAAGCAGGAGGCUGAAGAAAUGACUUUCUAAGGGCACCUGGAGGGUUCAGUC